CGGCGAGCGAAGCGGGAAAAGCUCAAAUUUGUAAUCUGGCGUCUACGACGUCCGAGUUGUAAUCUCGAGAAGUGUUUUCCGUGAUAGACCGCAUACAAGUCUCUUGGAACAGAGCGUCAUAGUGGUGAGAACCCAGUACACGAUGCGGAUGCCUAUUACUUUGUGAUACACUUUCGAAGAGUCGAGUUGUUUGGGAAUGCAGCUCAAAUUGGGUGGUAAAUUCCAUCUAAAGCUAAAUAUUGGCGAGAGACCGAUAGCGAACAAGUACCGUGAGGGAAAGAUGAAAAGCACUUUGGAAAGAGAGUUAACAGUACGUGAAAUUGUUGGAAGGGAAACACAUGCAGCCAGACUUGCUAUUCGGGGCAACUCGAUUGGCAGGCCCGCAUCAGUUUUUCGGGGCGGAAAAUCAUAGAGAGAAGGUAGCAAUUUCGGUUGUGUUAUAGCUCUUUAUUGGAUUCGCCCUGGGGGACUGAGGAACGCAGCGUGCUUUUAGCAUAAGCUUCGGCUUAUCCACGCUUAGGAUGCGGGUGUAAUGGCUGUAUAUGACCCGUCUUGAAACACGGACCA
This 567-nucleotide ribosomal RNA is filed under the name Sporobolomyces roseus. RNAcentral's name for it is "eukaryotic LSU rRNA". It matches the Rfam family "Eukaryotic large subunit ribosomal RNA", at positions 87 to 668 of the family's 3401-position model. Lineage: Eukaryota; Fungi; Basidiomycota; Microbotryomycetes; Sporidiobolales; Sporidiobolaceae. The record is from RNAcentral.